RNAcentral lists this ribosomal RNA (915 nucleotides) under uncultured rumen archaeon. Its description in RNAcentral is "bacterial SSU rRNA". The stretch from base 3 to 803 matches the Rfam family "Archaeal small subunit ribosomal RNA", at positions 4 to 828 of the family's 1478-position model. The record is from RNAcentral.
UUCUGUUUGAUCCUGGCGGAGGCUACUGCUAUUGGGAUUCGAUUAAGCCAUGCGAGUUGAAUGAAUUUAGAUUCAUGGCGUACGGCUCAGUAACACGUGGAUAACUUACCCUUAGGACUGGGAUAACUCUGGGAAACUGGGGAUAAUACCGGAUAUUAGGCUAUGGCUGGAAUGCUUUGCCUUUGAAAUGUUUCUUGUAUUCGCCUAAGGAUAGAUCUGCGGCUGAUUAGGUCGUUGGUGGGGUAAUGGCCCACCAAGCCUAUGAUCGGUACGGGUUGUGAGAGCAAGAGCCCGGAGAUGGAACCUGAGACAAGGUUCCAGACCCUACGGGGUGCAGCAGGCGCGAAACCUCCGCAAUGUACGAAAGUGCGACGGGGGGAUCCCAAGUGUUAUUCUUAAUAGGAUAACUUUUCAUUAGUGUAAAAAGCUUUUAGAAUAAGAGCUGGGCAAGACCGGUGCCAGCCGCCGCGGUAACACCGGCAGCUCAAGUGGUAGCUGUUUUUAUUGGGCCUAAAGCGUUCGUAGCCGGUUUGAUAAGUCUUUGGUGAAAGCUUAUGGCUUAAACUGUAGAAUUGCUGAAGAUACUGUCAGACUUGAAGUCGGGAGAGGUUAGAGGUACUACCGGGGUAGGGGUGAAAUCCNUAUAUCCUGGGAGGACCACUGUGGCGAGGCGUCUAACUGGACGAUCUUGACGGUGAGUACGAANNGCAGGGCGCGAACCGAUAGAACCGGGUAGUCUGGNCGUACGAUGUGACUUGGUGUGAAAUGCUCNAGUGUCAGUGCAAGGNAAGCUGUANUCCCCCUGGNAUACGUCCAAACUAACUAAGAUGCGGGGACACAACGGUGACUGCGUUAUGAUCAGCCGAUCUCGGACGACUGUGAAUCGUGAGACUUGACUCGAGGAGGAGCCCCUAC